UUCGCAAUGCCCGAAAGGGUGAACGAGCGACGCCGCGUGCGGGAUGAAGGGUUUCGGCUUGUAAACCGCUUUUCUUUGGGAAGAAGGUCUGUCUCGUGCAGAUGGGCUCGACGGUACCAGAGGAAUAAGCCUCGGCUAACUCCGUGCCAGCAGCCGCGGUAAGACGGAGGAGGCAAGCGUUAUUCGGAAUCACUGGGCUUAAAGCGCGUGUAGGCGGAUGGGAACGUCGGCCUUUGAAAGCCCCCGGCUCAACCGGGGAAGCGGAGCCGAAACGACCAAUCUGGAGGGACGUAGGGGGACCUGGAACUUCCGGUGGAGCGGUGAAAUGCGUUGAGAUCGGAAGGAACGCCCGUGGCGAAAGCGAGGUCCUGGACGUCUGCUGACGCUGAGACGCGAAAGCUAGGGGAGCAAACGGGAUUAGAUACCCCGGUAGUCCUAGCCGUAAACGAUGGGCACUAAGUAGAGGGGUUUU
This 472-nucleotide ribosomal RNA is filed under the name uncultured bacterium. Its description in RNAcentral is "bacterial SSU rRNA". It matches the Rfam family "Bacterial small subunit ribosomal RNA", at positions 364 to 832 of the family's 1533-position model. The record is from RNAcentral.